AGAGUUUGAUCAUGGCUCAGGAUGAACGCUGGCGGCGUGCUUAACACAUGCAAGUCGAGCGAAGCACCCGGACGGAUUUCUUCGGAUUGAAGACCGGGCGACUGAGCGGGCGACGGGUGAGGUAACGCGUGGGUAACCUGCCUCAUACAGGGGGAUAACAGUUAGAAAUGACUGCUAAUACCGCAUAAGCGCACGAAGGCGCAUGCCUUUGUGUGAAAAACUCCGGUGGUAUGAGAUGGACCCGCGUUAG
Molecule: ribosomal RNA, 250 nt
Filed under: uncultured bacterium
Lineage: Bacteria
Description: partial 16S ribosomal RNA
Rfam family: Bacterial small subunit ribosomal RNA
Source: RNAcentral